Molecule: ribosomal RNA, 253 nt
Filed under: uncultured bacterium
Lineage: Bacteria
Description: partial 16S ribosomal RNA
Rfam family: Bacterial small subunit ribosomal RNA
Source: RNAcentral
UACGUAGGGUGCGAGCGUUGUCCGGAAUUAUUGGGCGUAAAGCGCGUGUAGGCGGUCUGAAUAGUCUGCUGUGAAAGCGCCUGGCUUAACCGGGCGAGGUCGGCGGAAACUCUCAGACUGGAGGCCGGUAGAGGGGGGUGGAAUUCCCGGUGUAGUGGUGAAAUGCGUAGAGAUCGGGAGGAACACCUGUGGCGAAGGCGGCCCCCUGGGCCGCGCCUGACGCUGAGACGCGAAGGCUAGGGGAGCGAACGGG